RNAcentral lists this long non-coding RNA (228 nucleotides) under Lathyrus oleraceus (garden pea). RNAcentral describes it as "Pisum sativum (pea) long non-coding RNA (PSAT_LNC018729)". Lineage: Eukaryota; Viridiplantae; Streptophyta; Magnoliopsida; Fabales; Fabaceae. The record is from RNAcentral.
UUAAUGGUUAGUGUUAAUAGUUAGUGUGGCAUAAGGCAAAUUUAGCGCUAUGUUAAGCAAUCGUAAUUGGACUUAUGUAGAAGUCACAACUAUCUUAGGCCGGUCAAUAAUAAUGUAGGCAACAACACAAGUUAGAGGUCUUGAUUAGUGAAUCAAACUCCAACAACUUGCCAUGCCAAAAAGAAGAUGAGAAAUGAUCUUGUAUUGAUUUAGGUUCUUUGCAUGAUU